This is a long non-coding RNA of Lolium rigidum, 757 nucleotides long. RefSeq lists it as uncharacterized. The record is from RefSeq and is a predicted model, not a curated record. Lineage: Eukaryota; Viridiplantae; Streptophyta; Magnoliopsida; Poales; Poaceae. The transcript is spliced from 3 exons.
GCUGCAGCGGCAGAGGUGGGUGCAGCGCCGUUGUUGCCGUGUUGUGGAUAAGGCACACGCACAGGCAUUGAAGGCCCAGUGGAGCUGAGGAAGCUCUUCAGAUUUCCAAGGUUAGCUUUCUAAAAACUUAUCACUAUCUCUCCAGAUUUGGUACCAAUUGACACCGCAUAAUGCUUUGCUUGAGAUUGAUUGUGGUGCAUUUUUCUCUUGGCGUGGACUACAAUUAGGAUUCAAACUGAUGUCUAAUUAUUGUGGAACUAUCACUGUAGGAGGUGAUUAGUGAAGGUAAUCAACCUUUGUUGGCGAGGACGUCCAUUGUUUAAGGAACAUAGACCUCUAAAUUAUGUAUUCUGUGAAAUUCUGGUACUUCCCUCUUCUCGAAAAAGUCACACAUUAGCAGCAAGCCAUGAAGUUCGCCAAGGAGUACCCGAAGCAUAUGAUCAAGAAAUGCCAUGCUACGCCCUGUUCCCCACAGGGCCUUGGCGACGAGAGAGACGUCGCCAUCCCAGGAGGUAACCAGUGCUCUGGGGCUAGCCAUUGCUAUGGUAAAUAGUUCUGUUAACCUGUUCUUUGUUCGUCUCUUGAGGAUCCUCCAUUUUUCAUUUUCUACUCGGGAUUCUGUCGUCGCUUAGGUGUUGGCACAAGGAGCAGUCAAGAACUUCGUUGAAUAUUUUCCCCUUAUUUUGGACAAUCAAAUCGAGGAUGAAUUCAACCUAAGUGAAUCUUGCCAUUCAGUUCACAUUUCAUUUUGUGUGUU